RNAcentral lists this unclassified non-coding RNA (398 nucleotides) under Rhizopogon sp. RNAcentral's name for it is "partial internal transcribed spacer region". The stretch from base 1 to 46 matches the Rfam family "Eukaryotic small subunit ribosomal RNA", at positions 1786 to 1831 of the family's 1831-position model. Lineage: Eukaryota; Fungi; Basidiomycota; Agaricomycetes; Boletales; Rhizopogonaceae. The record is from RNAcentral.
AAGUCGUAACAAGGUUUCCGUAGGUGAACCUGCGGAAGGAUCAUUAAUGAAUGUAUAAAUGGCGAAGUCGAGGAAUACAGGGGUAAAACAGCUGGCUGUCGCUGGUCUUGUAAUGAGACAUGUGCACGCUCGCUCCCUGAGGACCUCUUUGACGUCUAUCAUCUCAUCUCUCUCACCUGUGCACCUAAUGUAGGUCUGCAUGGUUUUGGUAAAACAGAACCGUGCUAGAGCCUCUCUCUCUGCAGGGGGAAAGGACGAAAGUACCUAUGUCUUCAAAUACAUCUUCGUGUAGAAAGUCUUUGAAUGUUUUACUAUCAUCGAGUCGCAACUUCUAGGAGAUGCGGGUCUUUGAGUUAAAAGUUUAUUACAACUUUCAGCAAUGGAUCUCUUGGCUCUCA